GCCACUGUCUACUACUUUGUCCUAGAUGUGAAAGAAUCUGACUGUUGGGUCCUAUCCACAAAAUCCCAGAAUGACUGUCUUGAAGCUUCGCGGCCAUCUGAAAUCGUGAUUGGACAAUGUAAGGUCAUAGCUACGAGAUACUCUAACGACUCUCAGGACUGCAGAGUGAACCACUAUAACUGCACCACGAGCUCUGUCUCCUCAGCCCUGAGCAACACCCUGUGCUCCUGGAAUAUAUUGGAGAGUCCGAGGUUCACAGACAACAAGCCCACAACGCCCUGGAGAAGUACAAAGAGGAGAACGACGGCUUUGCCUCUUUCCGAGUGGACCGAGUAGAGAGGGUUAUAAAAGCGAGCGGAGGGGAAAGAACCAAUUACUAUGUGGACUUCUCUAUGCGGAACUGCUCUACACAGCAUUUCCACAGAAGGCCUCCAGUCUUUGGAUUCUGCAGAGCAGUUUUGUCCUACAGUGUAGAUGCCACCUACCUGGAAACCCCAGAAAACAUUGACAUAAUCUGUAAGGAGUGUCUUUAC
Non-coding RNA from Myodes glareolus (Bank vole), 533 nucleotides. The record is from RefSeq and is a predicted model, not a curated record. NCBI's taxonomy places the organism in Eukaryota, Metazoa, Chordata, Mammalia, Rodentia, Cricetidae.